GCCAGUGUGAUGUAGUGGUUUGAGUUUUGGACUAGGACUCUGGGUACCAGGGUUCAAAUCCCUGCUCAGCCA
Molecule: non-coding RNA, 72 nt
Organism: Phrynosoma platyrhinos (Desert horned lizard)
Lineage: Eukaryota; Metazoa; Chordata; Lepidosauria; Squamata; Phrynosomatidae
Source: the annotation of a GenBank genome assembly